Molecule: ribosomal RNA, 758 nt
Filed under: uncultured Bacteroidota bacterium
Lineage: Bacteria; Pseudomonadati; Bacteroidota
Description: bacterial SSU rRNA
Rfam family: Bacterial small subunit ribosomal RNA
Source: RNAcentral
GCAAGUCGAGGGGUAACAAUGACGCUUCGGGUGUUGAUGACGACCGGCGAACGGGUGCGUUAACGCGUAUGCAAUCUACCUACAGCAGAGGGAUAGCCCGUGGAAACAUGGAUUAAUACCUCAUAAUACAGGGGGCCCGCAUGGGCAUAUUGUUAAAGCUUUCGGGCGGCUGUAGAUGGGCAUGCGUCCCAUUAGUUAGUUGGUGCGGUAACGGCGUACCAAGACGAUGAUGGGUAGGGGUUCUGAGAGGAUGAUCCCCCACACUGGUACUGAGAUACGGACCAGACUCCUACGGGAGGCAGCAGUAGGGAAUAUUGGUCAAUGGACGGAAGUCUGAACCAGCCAUGCCGCGUGCAGGAAGACGGCCUUCUGGGUUGUAAACUGCUUUUAUCAGGGAAGAAUAAGCUUCUUGCGAGAAGUGAUGCCGGUACCUGAGGAAUAAGCACCGGCUAACUCCGUGCCAGCAGCCGCGGUAAUACGGAGGGUGCGAGCGUUGUCCGGAUUUAUUGGGUUUAAAGGGUGCGUAGGCGGCCUGUUAAGUCAGUGGUGAAAGGUAUCAGCUUAACUGAUGAAGUGCCAUUGAAACUGGCAGGCUUGAGUACAGACGAGGUAGGCGGAAUUUAUGGUGUAGCGGUGAAAUGCAUAGAUACCAUAAAGAACACCGAUAGCGAAGGCAGCUUACUAGGCUGAGACUGACGCUAAUGCACGAAAGCGUGGGGAGCGAACAGGAUUAGAUACCCUGGUAGUCCACGCUGUAA